UUAUAGCAUCUCAAGUCCACACACCACACACUGCAUAGGGCAGCUUUAUUUUGUUUUGAAUGAAAAAAAAAGAGGAAAACUCCAGGAAAGAAAAAGAAAAAUUAAAUCGAAACUUCAGGAAGGGGAAUCGCAUCCGAAUCCUCUGAUUUAGUUGUAGGCGUCGGGGUUGGCGACGAGGUAGGCCUCGGCACCCUUGAAAAUGGCGGUGAGUGCCUCCUUAGCCUUUGCUUCCUCGUCCUUCUCGUCCAUGCCCGGCAGCAGCUUGUAGGUCGACUCCACCUUCACCACGCUGCCGCCGUUGGCUGCGGGCUCCACCUUGAUGUGCGACGCCGCG
This 334-nucleotide long non-coding RNA is filed under the name Sorghum bicolor (sorghum). Its description in RNAcentral is "long non-coding RNA (SBIC_LNC001641)". Lineage: Eukaryota; Viridiplantae; Streptophyta; Magnoliopsida; Poales; Poaceae. The record is from RNAcentral.